AUGGCUCAGAGAACUUUCCUUUUACGAUGCAAACAAAUCGUUAAUGAGUGUACUCGACUUCUACAAGGGGACAGUCCACCAGAUGACGCAUUUCAAACAGUUCUAGCAAGAAUGGAAACCCUUAAACGCUGUCUGGAAUGCUCAAGAGGGAGGUUGAUGGAUGCAACAGCAGUACAAGACAUCCUUGAAAACAUUGAGAAAUAUACUCAGGAGGUCAAGGAAAUGCAACAGGGGGCUCAACAAGUGCUUAUAGACACAAGCUGUUACGGCGAUAAAGAGGCACGUGAUGGCUGGACUGUCAUGCGAGGUGGUGUCAGCAAAAGUAAAACUCACAAGUCAUAGAGUCAAUUGACUCUCUGCAUAUUCGUUGAACCGAGGGCUGCUUGAAGUGCUGUUUCUGUUGUAAUAGAGGUGCGGUCAGGAAAAUAACUUUUCUUAAAUAUGACAUAUAUAGAUGCUUCAGUCGAACAAGUCUGUCACAAACAAGUAAUUCCUUUUCCUAGAGAUGUGUUUUGAUCAUUUAUCAUUAUCAAACAUGUGAUCACAUGACUUUUACUGGCUAAUGAAUUAUGCCUUCUACAUUAAACAAUUACUGUCUUUUUGUCCUCUACAGAUUAACGUGCACACGCAUCAUAGACCAGAAGCACAAGUGGCCAUUGGUUUUAAUGCUGUCAACUAGGGCUCAAGCAUGCAUUAAAGAGUCCAUUUACCUAAGAUGAUGUGGUUGUUAUUGCUCCUGAUACAAAGUUUUCUGUGUGUACACUUAAUGUCAGUUUUCACAAAGACAAAUUCUGUAACAUCUGUUUUCUCUGUUUGAUUAUGGCAGGUAAUGUUUAUAUUAGUGUUUAGAAAGAUAAAAGAAGGUACAGUACUGGGUUGUAUAGCACCGACGCCUGUGUGGUUACGUGUAACACUUGACUAUUUUAAAUAGAUUUCAGUAUUCCCCAGUAAAUAAAAAAAAUUCUACAAAUGUCCA
This 976-nucleotide long non-coding RNA is filed under the name Betta splendens (Siamese fighting fish). Its description in RNAcentral is "lncRNA (ENSBSLG00000010978.1)". Lineage: Eukaryota; Metazoa; Chordata; Actinopteri; Anabantiformes; Osphronemidae. The record is from RNAcentral.